AUUGAACGCUGGCGGCAUGCUUUACACAUGCAAGUCGAACGGUAACAGGCCGCAAGGUGCUGACGAGUGGCGCACGGGUGAGUAAUGCAUCGGAACGUGCCCAGUCGUGGGGGAUAACUACUCGAAAGAGUAGCUAAUACCGCAUACGAUCUAUGGAUGAAAGCGGGGGACCGUAAGGCCUCGCGCGAUUGGAGCGGCCGAUGUCAGAUUAGGUAGUUGGUGGGGUAAAGGCUCACCAAGCCAACGAUCUGUAGCUGGUCUGAGAGGACGGCCAGCCACACUGGGACUGAGACACGGCCCAGACUCCUACGGGAGGCAGCAGUGGGGAAUUUUGGACAAUGGGCGCAAGCCUGAUCCAGCAAUGCCGCGUGCAGGAAGAAGGCCUUCGGGUUGUAAACUGCUUUUGUACGGAACGAAACGGCUCUGGUUAAUACCCGGGGCUAAUGACGGUACCGUAAGAAUAAGCACCGGCUAACUACGUG
Molecule: ribosomal RNA, 482 nt
Filed under: uncultured bacterium
Lineage: Bacteria
Description: partial 16S ribosomal RNA
Rfam family: Bacterial small subunit ribosomal RNA
Source: RNAcentral